AGGGUUCGAUUCUGGCUCAGGAUGAACGCUAGCGGCAGGCCUAACACAUGCAAGUCGGACGGUAAAUGUUGUAGCAAUACAAUAUGAGAGUGGCAAACGGGUGAGUAACGCGUAUGCAACCUACCCUUAACUGUGGGAUAGCUCGGAGAAAUUCGGAUUAAUACCACAUAUUAUUAUGGACUGGCAUCUGUUUAUAAUAAAGAUUUAUUGGUUAAGGAUGGGCAUGCGUGCCAUUAGCUAGUUGGUAAGGUAACGGCUUACCAAGGCGACGAUGGCUAGGGGGUCUGAGAGGAUGGUCCCCCACACUGGUACUGAGACACGGACCAGACUCCUACGGGAGGCAGCAGUGAGGAAUAUUGGUCAAUGGACGCAAGUCUGAACCAGCCAUGCCGCGUGAAGGAAGAAGGCCCUAAGGGUUGUAAACUUCUUUUGUACGGGGGUAACUUUAGGCUCGUGAGCUUAAUUGAAAGUACUGUACGAAUAAGCGUCGGCUAACUACGUGCCAGCAGCAGC
Molecule: ribosomal RNA, 513 nt
Filed under: uncultured bacterium
Lineage: Bacteria
Description: bacterial SSU rRNA
Rfam family: Bacterial small subunit ribosomal RNA
Source: RNAcentral